AGUAGUUUGAUCCUGGCUCAAGAACGAACGCUGGCGGCAUGCCUUACACAUGCAAGUCGAACGGCAGCACGGGGGGCAACCCUGGUGGCGAGUGGCGAACGGGUGAGUAACAUAUCGGAACAUACCCUAGAGUGGGGGACAACUUGGGGAAACUCAAGCUAAUACCGCAUGAUGUCUACGGACAAAAGCUGGGGACCUUCGGGCCUGGCGCUUUAAGAUUAGCCUGCGUCCGAUUAGCUAGUUGGUGGGGUAAGGGCCUACCAAGGCGACGAUCGGUAGCUGGUCCGAGAGGAUGGCCAGCCACACUGGAACUGAGACACGGUCCAGACUCCUACGGGAGGCAGCAGUGAGGAAUAUUGGACAAUGGGGGCAACCCUGAUCCAGCCAUGCCGCGUGAGUGAAGAAGGCCUUCGGGUUGUAAAGCUCUUUCAGUUGUGAAGAUAAUGACGGUAGCGACAGAAGAAGCCCCGGCUAAAUUCGUG
This 482-nucleotide ribosomal RNA is filed under the name uncultured bacterium. RNAcentral describes it as "bacterial SSU rRNA". It matches the Rfam family "Bacterial small subunit ribosomal RNA", at positions 1 to 507 of the family's 1533-position model. The record is from RNAcentral.